Molecule: long non-coding RNA, 224 nt
Organism: Papaver somniferum (opium poppy)
Lineage: Eukaryota; Viridiplantae; Streptophyta; Magnoliopsida; Ranunculales; Papaveraceae
Exons: 3
Source: RefSeq, a predicted model, not a curated record
AGGUGAUGUAGAUGUUGGAAACUCUUAUCUGCACUUGCUCGUUUGUUACUAAUUUGAGUUGCUGGAUACACUUGCUGGAUCCUCUUUGCUGGGCAGGAUGAUAACAAGUAAAGCCUGUCUUCAUGGAAGACAUUGUGACCUACGAAUUCACUUACUUGAAUUCCCUAGAUAUGGUGUAUGUGAAUGAUCAGUUCUUGAUCUGGGAUCCCGAACAUCAGAUUAUG